AUCAGUCAAGGAGCUACUGUACCACAGAAAGUUUCAAUCAGGUGGGCAUUACUUUUACUAUACGUAUAUAGAGAUCCCCUGCGUGUCGUAGGCCUCUUAUACGAAUGAAUGCAUGAGAUGAUUUAACUGUUAAUUUCAGUUUCAUAUAUAUAUCAAAUGAGUUUAAAUGUUACGUUCAAGCAAGUUAUUUCAUGACAAAAUCUUUGAGUUAAAGUUAUUUCAAGUAUUGUCUUGCCAUAAAAUGUUUAAAUUUUAGUAUGAUAUCUAUCUGCUUUGGCUUUGCCAAUGAUGCAAUCGAAUUCGGGUCCUGAGCAGUUGAUAGCUAUCCUGCCAGGACUAGUGUACACCAGUGACCGUGAGUCAUCUAGCGGGUUGGCCGGUCAAGUGACCGUGAGAGGUGGCCACCUCUCCGGCACACAGUUCCAGAUAUGAUAGAUUACAAAAGAACUUAGUUUGCAGACGAACUUUAAGAAUCACAAAUGAAUUUAGUAAGCUUGGGCCUUUUUAGCGAAAAACUCCCUUGCUGUACUGUUUAUGAUGGCAUGACAAUUUACAGUUUUGAAGCAUGUAUUUUUAUACCUAGGCAUACGUGCCCACUGAGUGCUUUUGUACUCAGCCCUGCAUAUGUUUUCUAAAUGUGCAGGUUGAGCUGAUGUGAUGAUGGUGCUGAAAUGAGCGGAGUCUCCAGGGUUGUUAAUAAAUAGUUAACCUGUCUAGAAUAUGUCUUCAUACAUAUGUCUAGCUACUUUCCGCUGCAAGAUGUUGUUGAUGUUAUAGUAUGUUAUGUCAUACUUUGAGUCUUAAGAGAAUGGUUUCAU
RNAcentral lists this long non-coding RNA (818 nucleotides) under Salvia miltiorrhiza (redroot sage). Its description in RNAcentral is "long non-coding RNA (SMIL_LNC007216)". The record is from RNAcentral. Lineage: Eukaryota; Viridiplantae; Streptophyta; Magnoliopsida; Lamiales; Lamiaceae.